This is a long non-coding RNA of Cyprinus carpio (common carp), 3945 nucleotides long. RefSeq lists it as uncharacterized. The transcript is spliced from 8 exons. NCBI's taxonomy places the organism in Eukaryota, Metazoa, Chordata, Actinopteri, Cypriniformes, Cyprinidae. The record is from RefSeq and is a predicted model, not a curated record.
AAAAACUUAAAAUAAAGUGUUAAUCAUUGGUUAAUCAUUUUGAGAUUGGCUAAAGAUUACAUGUUUGGUUGUUACCGACUAUGUCAGUUUUGAAAUGUACACAAUUUUGUAACACACAUGCAUAUUAAGGCAUAUAAUUAAUUUUAUAUGGACUAUAUACAAUUCAAAAAUGUUUUUAAAGAUUAAUUUUAAAAAUAAAUGUUGAUGAUCAAGCUAAAUGUCAUCUAGAUAAUGAAAACGAGUGUGCACAAUUAAUUAAAUAUACAAUAUUGGCUGUUUUCACUAAAUAAAGACAUUUUUGUUAUUGGCCAUAACCAAUAUGAUAUCAUUAUAUGUGCAUUGAUAGUUAUUUCAUUUGAAGGGUUAUUUAAAACCCUUAAUUAACCAGCAAAGUCUAAACCUUCGUUUAGUUUAGUGUUUGAUUUAUAAGUGAGCACGAGCAUUUACACUAUAUAAAUGCAUUGUGGCCACAUGUUUUUGCCCACAUUCAAAUGUAUUUAAAAGUGGUAAAACUCUAAACAAUUUGUACUGUUUACACUAAUAUUUAGCGCUGUCUACUUUUGAUGAUACACCAGGUGUAAAUGAGGUAUAGAAGUUCUUCCUACCGUUUCUUGUUUUCCAUUUUGAAACAGCAGCAUAGUUGGCAACAGAGUAUUUUCAAGAGUGAAAAAUUAUUUUUGCAAAUAAAUAGAUCUGUGUCGCGCUUCUGCUAGGAGACAGCCUAACUCACGCCAGGGUUCAAUAAUUAAUUCCUGUGCUGAGAGUUUCAGAGACGUGCUGAUUGGAAUGAUUUUCUCUUCUUCUUUUCCUCUUUUUUUCUCCUUCUCUGUUAUGAUACAAAGGAGGCUGUUUGAAGUAAUUUGUCCCAGAGAGAGUGGCUUGGAAUACCAUACAAGCUUUGAUUUAGCAAAGCAAAUUUAAUUUUGUUUGCUUUAUGCAAACCAGCCAGGACCGAAGGGGCUUUCUCUGAUUUCGCUUUGGGGUGGGGGAGGUAUCCGGUUCUAAUGGGAGCGUGAGAGAAGCAUGUUCACGAACGGAUUCGGUAUCUAAUAUAGCAUGCGGUUCAAAAGUACAGCGCCCAUCCCCCUCUUCCACGCCUUGAAAUAAUUGUCUGUGUUGUCUUAUUUUUGUACCUUUCAUCCUAAUAACGAAAGCAAUUCCAGCUUCUUUUGUUUUGCUUUUGGAGAACUGCCUGAUGUGAAUGUUUCCUAAUAUGCUUAGCUAUUCUUACGGUUGUGUGUCUAGCUGUGGUUAUGGAUCUAUUGGGCACGGUUCGCAAACCUUUACCAUUGCUCUCUACGUGCUAUUGUGUUCUAGUCCAUAUAGCAAGGCUUUCUCUUCAGGGUCAAACCAUCUACUGUUUGCAAAUUGUCUCGUUCAGCAAGGUACAAGCAGCCACUCAGGUAGGAUUCUCAGUAACAGCCCUUAAUAACAGUGGUUUUAUAAUGAAAUGGACAAAAACCAUCCCCAAGGUCACAACUUUAAAAACAUUGUAUCUCCAGCACUCAUUCCUGCAUACUUUGAACUGUACUUUGGCUGUACCAUUUACUUAAUAGCAUUUUAGUUUGCCGUUCGUAACUGAACAAUGUAGAAAAUGGGUGGUCUACUUUUGUUGAAAGACUGUUCAAGAAAUAAUGAGUAUAUAAAGCAAAAGCCCAUUUUUUACCGUUUUAUAUAUAUAAAUAUAGAGAGAAACCUCUCCUUGACUAGCCUCCGUUCUUUUGUAAUACAAAACUUAUCCAAUAUCUUUCAAGCUCUCUCCGCAGUUUAAAGGUCUUAAUUGGAUUCCAUCAAUAUAUUGCUUGACACAACCUCAGGUCCGCCACAUUCCCUCUCAACUCUGCGGAGGGAAGCCGCCUCAUUCAUUCCGUCAGGCUUUGUAAUGCUGUGAAUAUUCUUAGUUAAAUUGGCAGUUUUCAGAGCUAUUAUUUAAGCCUGAUUGGACUGCAAAAGCAUGUUUUAAAUGAAGUGAAUGUCAAGAAAGAAAGAAAGAAAGAGAGAAAAUAGCAUGUUACCUCUACACACGGGUCCGUAUAAAGUAUUUCGCUCUCUGUAGGCUGACUCAAGUGUAAAACUUUGUAAGUAUAUGUAUGAAAGGUACAAAUGACUAGGUUAUUAAAGUAGAAUUAGGCUGCCAGGCUUUGAGUAACAGUCAGCCCUGACGUUCUCUCACUCUCCUUUUUCUUUCUUUGUUCCAUGGCUAUUGACGGGCAUGGAGAGGCGUUUGAUUGCCAAGACAGCAGUGACAGUGCCUGACCCUGACCCAAUAAAAGGAGCAGACUACCACAUCCAUGACAGCAAGCACGUUCCUUCUCAUCAGUCAGGACUCCAGUGGAGAUUUGUGAGGGUAUGAGAGUAUAAACACAUCCUCGUCCUGCUCUUGAACACUUCCAGACUGGCCCUCACACAGCUCUGACUGACUACAAAAUGAGAGAGAGAGAGAGACCGUGUGAAGAAGAAGAAGAAGAAUAUCCUGAGUCAGUGGGGAAAGGGAUGUUGGCUGCAAAGUAAAGUCAUUUAAAACCCACCCAGAUGCCUCCAGGUGGGAGAUAACAAGUGUACAAUAAGAGCCUGCGAGUGAGACCACAUUAAGAAGGCAACACAAACAAGAAGAAAUCUCAAGGAUAAAGAGGAUUCAGGGUCACAAGAAACCAUUUCCCGCCAUAUCUGACUGGCCUGUGACAUAAGAGGGUUUGUGCAGACAACAUCCCAGCAGCCCCAAAGUAACAUUGAAGAUUUCAGUUUCCCCUGAACAGAUCGGCAUUGAUCGAUUUCAGGUAUGGAAACAUGUCAGGACUCUCUCAGGACUGUUGCAGGAUAAUGACACUGAAGACUGGAGUAAUGGCUGCUGAGAAUGUCAUCACAUGAGACAUGAGAUGUGGCAGAAAACCAGAAGGAGAAAUGGGAUGUGGAAAUUAUACCAGGUGGAUUUAAACUCUGGUCAUCUUGCAAAUUUGCAAGACCACACAACGUAUUGGAGCGUGUGUAGCCAUGUCUCUGAAUUUUUUAUUGAUUGUUUUCUUCAGUAUAACUAGCUUGCAAGAUAUAUGUUGAUUGGCAUUGCAUUAUUAUGAGGAUCAAGGAAAUCCCAUGAUGGUUCAUAGUAAUAUUGGCAACAUCUUUAUCAAUAUAUAAAUCAGCAAAAACCAUGUGCAGCUCCUUGUCAUUCAUGGCUGUCUGGGUAACAUUAGACAUACUCCAUCUCAGGGGCUCUCAGAGAUGUUUUCUCCUCUGUGAAGUAAAGGUUCAUGUUGGUUUAUGUUGUGGAAGGCUGUAUAUCAGGUUUUGAAUGUGUUGGGAGGCUGUUCGCCGUCUCUCCUCUGGUUCUUCCCCCAGAGGCAGGAGCCUUAUGGAUUGCAGCAACGAGGAGGAGAAAUAAAUUGGAGAGUAGGAUAAAUCGAUGCUUGACGGAGAGGCAAAUAGACCUUCCAACCUCAGUCCAAACGCAGAGCUUUGGUUAUUUUCCUUAGGGCUGUAUUGGAUUGGUUGACGGCGGCUGAGGAGAGGGCUCAGACAAGACUUGGCCUACAAAUGAUGUCCUUUGUUUUAAUUCAUUAAUUUCAUUAAUGUGUAAAGAACCUUUAGCAUUUUGGGGUGGACGUUGGUCCUUUCUUGGCAGAAUGGUUUCUGGAGUGUCAAAAAGCAAUGUCAAAUAGGGCAUAAUUUUACUCUACUGCAUUUGGUUUGUUAUAAACUCUUAAAUCAUGUUUUCCAUAUUCAAACACCUUCAAAUUUUGUCCAUUCAAAUCAUGACUUGAACCCCAUACAUAGAGCUGACACUCAAAACACUACGGUAAACAUCAAGCAACAGAGUCGAGAUCAACUGGUGCAAGCACAAAUUUCAAGUCAAAGCUGCAGAGCAAACUUGUCCAAAAGGUCAAAAUUUAGUGAGCAGCUAUGUGCAUGUGGAUUUGUUUGCUUGUGUGUGUGAUGCAGAGUUGCACA